Lolium rigidum is the source of this 539-nucleotide long non-coding RNA. RefSeq lists it as uncharacterized. The transcript is spliced from 3 exons. The record is from RefSeq and is a predicted model, not a curated record. Lineage: Eukaryota; Viridiplantae; Streptophyta; Magnoliopsida; Poales; Poaceae.
UAGAAGCAUACAAGUUCUUUGAUGCAAUAUCUGCUAUAUACUCAUGGUGGCAGUACCAGCGAUGUCAUGUAUUUAUAGAAGCUGCAAAACCUUACUUAAUGAUCCUCAAGAGUUUGAUUCAGUAACAGCUUCUUGUAGAUAUGCUCUGCAGGUUUACCUCAACACUUGUUUGCAUCUGCUUCGCCCAUUCAUGCCUUAUGUAACAAAAGAACACUGGCAUCAUCUUCCUCUGCCUAAUAAUUCUUGCAAGAAAAGGUGGAAAACUACUAUUAUUUAUGACAGGAAUGGGCAGAUGAUAGACUUGAAAGUGAAGUUGGUAUUGACUUGGAUACAAUGAACAUACUUAGAUCUCUGAAGCCACCAACAGAUACAAAUGAAAGGUAUCCUACACAAUGGAAUUACUGCUCGGCUCAGAUGCUAUGCUGGUCUGAAGUGUAUGUCAACUGCAAGAUAUAGUGCCCUGAACUAUAUGUUAGUGUUAUUUUCGUACCACAGUGAUAAUUUUCAGGCCCAGCGUAAUUCUGUGUUUCGGUCUGCUC